This is a non-coding RNA of Aegilops tauschii subsp. strangulata, 4962 nucleotides long. The record is from RefSeq and is a predicted model, not a curated record. NCBI's taxonomy places the organism in Eukaryota, Viridiplantae, Streptophyta, Magnoliopsida, Poales, Poaceae.
CGAGCCUCCCCUCCCCUCGAUCCGUUUCCUGGUUCCAUCGUCAAGGACGCCCCAGCCGCGGAGCCCUUGGCCGCCUCUGAGAUCCGAGAGGAACCAUCCGGCUCUCGCGUUGGCCGCCGCCAGUGCGGCUCCACCCCUUUCUCCCCCAUCGAUCCCCAGCACCUCCUCGCUGUUCCCAAUCCCAUCCUAUGCGCGCCCCUGCGGCUAACCCUAGCCGCCAACUCGUGUUGCGGCCGCGUCACCGGCCGCUUGGGUGCAGAAGGAGUGGCAGCGGUGGCGCCGUGCUGGGGCGGAGGAGAAGGAUAGCGAUGUGAAGGUAGCGCCGUCCCAGAUUGAGGUGGAAUCCGGUGAGAAGCGCCUAAACAAGCUCGGUUACAAGGAAGAGCUCCAGAGGGAGAUGACGCUGUUCAAGACGCUGGCCAUCACUUUCUCCAGGAUGAUGAUCUUCACCGGGAUCACGUCUUUGUACGGUAGCAUCCUCCGGUACGCGAGGCCGUCCAGCCUCGUGCGCGGCUGGGUCAUCAUCUCCUUCUUCACCUGGUUCAUCGGUGUCGUCAUGUUGGGGAUUUCUCCUUCCCUGUAAGCACACACCUUCCCAUAACUCGCCAGAUUCAAGAAUCAACCCUAUCUGUGAUUGAAAUUUAGUGCUCUGUUUAUCCGUUGCUUAUAACAUUCAGUUUGGUUUGGUCCGUCUCAGUCAAAAUGAUGCCAUUGAUGUACAUAAUUCUUGCAAUUUAGUUCUGACUCUCGAGUGGCAAUAUAUGUGCGACAAUUACUGAUUCUUGAAUGUACUGUUUUCCUGUAUUUGUGCUGCAUGAAUGUGUCAUAUUAAGUGGAAAAGACUCAUGGUUUCUGAUCAUGGCUGGUGUGCUCUGUUUUAAACUUUUUUUAUUUUUUGUUUGACAACAGACAACUGGUUCCCUCUAUUUCUGGGCAACUCAUCUUGCUGCCCGAUCUGGGGUCAGCGUUGCUUGCUUGCUUUUCUCCCAUAGUCCCGUAGAUGAGUGUCGCCGCCGUCUUCGCCUUGGCUAUCAGAUGCGUCGACGUUGUCAUCGCGUGUGCCACGGACCAGUCAGUGGACGCUGAUGCUUUGGCGUAUCUGAUGUGGCAGUCGUACCAAGUCUGCUCCAAGUCACGGGUGCAGUAACUACCCGUUUUUUUUUUCAAUCUUCCUCCUCAUGCUUGUGCGUUGGGAUGCACCUUUUGCCUAGCCGGUGACUUGAAACUUAUUUGGGGAUGGAAGUAGCAAACUGAUGCAGAUAGUUUCAUAGUUUUGGCGUAUUUAGUGUCAAAUCUGUUUUGACUGCUUCAAAUUUUAAAAGAGGCAACCACAGUGUUCUUCUUCUAUUUUUUUAUUUAAUAUGUGUCUGAUUGACCUGCUUGGUUGUGGCUUGUACAACUUUCUAUUCUCCAUUAACCCUUUGAUUUAUGUAUGUUGAUCUUUCUCAGUUCUUUGAACCUCUAACUACUGAAGCUGAAAAUGAAGUUCAUGAUUGUUUGUAUGGCAACGGUUCAGGGUACGCUUCAUGACAUGCUUGCAUCUUGUUUGAAGCUUCCUAUGUGCCUUGCUAACACAACUCAACAUUGCUCCUUUUCACUUACAGUAGCAAAAUCCUGGUGCUGCAUGAACCGUCUAACAUUCAGGUUAGCAGGGGGGAAAAUCAGUGUUUGAGACCACAUGGCAGGUUAAAUGACGAGCUAAAUAUUCAUCUUACAUGUACUAAACCAUCCUUAUUGAUUGCAAACAUGUAAACUUUGCACUGAUGUUUUUAUACCUAAUGGGGAAAGUGGGAUCCCUUGUCUUCAGGUCAAUAAUUUGUACCUUGAAUUGUUAAAGGAGAGGGGAAUAAAAAAAACCAAAAGGUUCUCUAAAUGCAGCUUCUUCAAUACAUUUUAUUGACAGUUGAUGGAUGGAUCCAGUAGGCCUUGGUAGUGCUAAGCGUGUUUGAAUCCACUAUUGCUAAGCGUGUUUGAAACCACUAUUGCUUGAGUCGUUCUUCCGGUCUCCCAUUGGUACGUGGGGCGUACCCCAUGUAACAUUAUGUUUCUCUGAUAAAUUUACUGAUGUGCAGGUCGGACCAUUCCGAGAAUCAGACUUGCCAAUAUGAGAGGUUAAAUGCAAGAAACGAGAAUAAGGUGAAUACGCUGAGCGGUUUCACGCCUUUCUUUGAUAUUUCUGUGGUAUUUUUUUUCCCAUUCACUCCUUGUGAAAAUGAAAUCUGUUAUUUGGACUAAAAUUCAUAUCUGCAUCUACCAUUAUACUUAUCAUCGUGUAACAUUAUGGGGACAAAUGCAAAAGUUGUUUCUGUUUUUCAUCCAUCUCUACGUUUUCUGAAUAAUACUUUUUUUCCUUAGCAUAAACAACAGAGAAGCCCUCUGCACUGAACAAAAAAUGUAUUGAGUUAAAACCUAUAUCUGCCAAAUACGAAUAAUUGUCAUCAAAUCAUGUACAGUGCUUGGAUUUUAUUUACCGAGAAGACCGUCAUUGUUGUGUAUACACUUCAUCAUUUUUUUCAUUGAUGUUGGCUGCAAAUGUUUGACAUGAAUUAAGAUUUCUAAUAUGUAUUCCAGUGAUGUUUUUUUAACAUUGUCAGGAAGUAGUUUUCUUUGAUGACGAAGAUACAAAACCCGCUGAAUCCGUUGAUGUCAAGGUGGCUAAUAAAUGUCAAAUUGGUAACACGAUAAGUGAUAAUAAUUUUGCCUACUAACAUUUCAUCACUAUAUGUUGUAAAAUAGUGACCAAUCAUAAAAUGUAGUACUAAUUUGCAUUGUUGGAUAGAGGGUCCGUUGGUAUUACAGGUGGUGGUGGAUGAAGGGGAUAGUGUCACUAGAAAUGGAGGUGCACAUGAGAACUAUUUUCAUAGAUUUUUUUGAAGUUACUAAAUUGUGUAUGAUAAGACAAGAUGAGACUUUUGAACGACAAUAGUGCUAGAGGAUGGGCGGAUCAAAAGAAUGAAAGUGGAGGAAAAGUAAAGGUAGGGAGAAAGAUGACGCUUUGUCUUUUUGUAGGAGGAGGAUGGUUACCGAUGCUGGACGACUACCGGGGAAGAAAGAAGCGGAAUAGAGAGUUGUUACUGCUCAUUAUAUUGACGACCUGUUGUUAGACCCUGCAUCGCUGCUCCCGCCAAAGCGUGCUUCUCUUUUGACAGCAGAGAAGUCUCAAGGUGGAAGAUUUGACAAUUGAGAUGCUAGGGAACACAAGAACCGGGUGCUAUCAGCGACUGACACCUGGCGAGCAGUUGAGGUAGCCAGGAGCCAUCCUUGAGAAAAGAUUGGUGCUGGAAUACAGUGGAAGGAGCCUCUGUCGCGGGAUGCCGAUCAGGUGACUGGUGUGGGAAUUGGCAGUUCUCAGUCAACGCAGGAUGGCAUGAUAAAAGAAGUUGUUAGCACCGAGCCACCGAUCGACGAGAAGAUGGAUUUCGUGAUCCGGGCGAUAGCAAGGAUGCUUAAGAGCAUGAUGGACAAGGGACAGACGGAAAAGAGUUGCAGGAUGGAGAAGGGAUGAAUGAAAAGGAGUAUAGCAGGAAGCAAGUUAUAACAAAUAUGGAUCUGGUGCAUCAGAGAAUAACAUUGCUGGAACACAUAUUGCUGCAAGCUUACAUCUUCUUUCAAAAAGGUAAAAUUUAUUAGAGAAGACCAAUCUAUUGCUUGACAAAGACGAUCAAGCCCUUUCCCCUUCUAAGGGUGGUGGUAUAUUACUGGAAGUCCAUGAAUCCCCUUCUAAGCGGGUAAAUUACUGGAAGAAUAUGUAUCAUGGAUACAUACCUGACAUGUCUGGGUCAUCUUAUUUAAAUGUAGGACACAAAAUUAACCUAGGAACGAACCUUGUUCCAGCACAUCUAUAUUACUACUACUCAGUAUCUAACCUUUUGUGUGUGGGAAAACACAGUAUGUAAACUGAUACUUCGUAUGAAGGUAAAAUAUUUGUGCAUUGAAUGAACUGAGAAUAGAGGUGAUAUUAUUUUUUGUAACAAUCGAAGUUAUUCGAUGACUUCUCCCGAAGACACUGCAGCCAUCUUAAUAGGAAAACUCGAUCAGACUUACCCAGAGUAUGCUAUUCUCUCUCUAACAAUAAUUAACUUUUGUAAGGAGACAUUACCGGGAUGUAAGGAGACUUACCCAGGGUAUGUUUUCUCUCUCUCUCUAACAAUAAUUAUUUUGUGUACUACUUAGAGAACUGGUUAAAUGUUUUGUACUGCUCGAUCACAGAUAUCAUAUUUAUGUGGUAAGAAAGGAAUUGUUAGCUGAAACAAAUAAUGUUGUAUAUUGGUGUCAUGUAGGUGACUGCACGGCAAUGGGUGUCAUGUAGAAACUACAUAUUGUGUGUUUGAUAUUUAUUCUGAAUUUAACUCUUUGUUGAUAACUUUUCUUUUUAUUUGUGAAGAAUUUAUUCACAUCCUGUAUCAUGAGCAAAUUAUUUUGACAUAUAUAAAUAUAUUUUCUAGACGCGGAUUAUAUUUCAAGAUCUAUGAUAGAAACUGCUAGAGCAUCUUUGACAAUUGGAUUUUUUUUCAGUUACUCUUUUUAUGGGUUUUGUAAGCUCUGUUGAUAGUGAUGGUGAGUUAAGCUCAUUCGGAGGUAAAUACAGAAAACUGAGAUAAGAUACUAUCACUUGCUUUUAUGUGUUACGGUUAUGGUUUUUAUGUGACUGAUUAGGAGGGUGCAAAUUGGGACAACUUUCUUUCAACCAUCUGAAUGUUGUGAUACAUGACUGUGAAAGGAUCGGAUACACCACAUACACCAGGUAAACAACAUGUACCUAUCUGAUUUCACACUUGCGCUCAAGUCCCAUUUUAAAAAUAUGUUUCUUCGCAACCUGGUUGACACCAAUGCGCUCAAGUCACUUUAUUUAGUCGAAACAUGAAACAGCUCAACUGAAGAGAAGAACAUGAUUUUUUUCCAUAAGAAGAUGGGCAACUAUCUUUAUAAUCAGUAUCUAAUAUUCUUGAUUUAUAAUUUAUC